GUAGUGGGAUGACAGGCAGGAAGCGGCGAUUCCGCCGUUUUCAGCCAGUCUUUCUAUCAUGUUUCGCGCACAACUUUUCAACAUACUUUUUUUUAUUAUCAAACCCAACCCAAACAACAAACCAUAAACUAAAACAUAACUUUAUAAAAACUCGUGACGGUGGAUGUCUUGGCUCCAGCAACGAUGAAAAACGCAGCAAAAUGCGAUACGUAGUGCGAAUUGCAGAAUCCGUGAAUCAUCGAAUCUUUGAACGCAAGUUGCGCUCGCGGGCAAUCCUGCGAGCAUGUCUGUUUGAGUGUCCGCACAAAUGAGACUUUUGCUUCUUUCCGACAGAGGAAGAAGCUGCUGAUGGGUGUUUUUGUCCAGUCCUCACACACACUUUUUGUGUGUGUUGUGUGUUGGUGCAGAAGAUUUCCGUGCAACCCGAAAGGGGGAAGCGGUCACCUGAAGAAUAGCUUUGUAUGGGAUGUUGUUUUGUCGGUUUGAAGUACGCUUGGCACUUUUUUUCGGAGGGAUGUAGGUGCAGAGCGGUUGUGGAAGGUGCAACUGCAGAAUCGGCUAGACAAUGCUUCCCCGCAGGAGUAGAAUACACGACUGUGAAGGGGAUGGCAGAGGAUGGUUUGUGUUUCCGGGCAAAAUGCCCUCUGUAUCGUCGAUCGUUACUUUUAUAUACAGGACUUUCAUUGUAACAUAAACCUUAUAACAUUUUGGAUCUCAAAUCAGACAAGACGACCCGCUGAAU
Molecule: ribosomal RNA, 742 nt
Filed under: Mazzaella membranacea
Lineage: Eukaryota; Rhodophyta; Florideophyceae; Gigartinales; Gigartinaceae
Description: eukaryotic LSU rRNA
Rfam family: 5.8S ribosomal RNA (bases 149-301)
Source: RNAcentral